GGCUGGUUAGCUCAGUCAGUUGAGCGUGGCACUAACAAUGCCAAGGUUGUGGGUUCGAUUCCCGUUCAGUCC
RNAcentral lists this transfer RNA (72 nucleotides) under Apaloderma vittatum (bar-tailed trogon). It matches the Rfam family "tRNA". Rfam says of the family: Transfer RNA (tRNA) molecules are approximately 80 nucleotides in length. The record is from Rfam by way of RNAcentral. Lineage: Eukaryota; Metazoa; Chordata; Aves; Trogoniformes; Trogonidae.